RNAcentral lists this long non-coding RNA (3345 nucleotides) under Homo sapiens (human). Its description in RNAcentral is "long intergenic non-protein coding RNA 2249". The record is from RNAcentral. Lineage: Eukaryota; Metazoa; Chordata; Mammalia; Primates; Hominidae.
ACCGUCUUUGAUAGAAAUAAAAAUAAAAAUAAAAAGUUGAAUUGCAGAAAAGCUAAGAGGUUUUUAGUUUUUGUUUUUUGUUUUCCUUCCACCAGUCAAUUAUUGGAAAGGAUUUAGUGAGUCUGGUUUAUUUUAGCUUCAAUCUGGGUUUGUACACAAGCAAAAAGCAAAUGUUGAAUUUUCAGGUAGACCUUCAUGCAGACAUGCAAAACCAACUGUCUCGGUGGUGAGGAGCCAUGGGGAGCUCUCCGAAGGGCUUUCCAGGCAGUGGGCUAAUGGGCAAAAUGACUACUCAGUGGCCCUGCUGACCGAUGGUACGGAUGUGCCAAGGAUAUCUAUCAGCCCAUCUGAGAAUAUGAAACAAAGUGCUGAGAUUCUACUACCUAAAGUAACAAAGAAACCGUAAGCAACACGACUGACAGCCAGAAGGGAACACUGGAGUUGUGGCGUGUAAUGCUGUCCUGGAUUAGCACCCCCAAAUCUCGCCAAGCCAAAGGCCUUGCCCAUCUGUGAGUUUUCCACAUGUACAGAACCAGGCGUGGUUACGCAAAGUCUUUGGACACGGCCUCCACGAAGUUGGGAGCCGACAUCAGGAUGCCGAUGGUGCAGAUGAUGGUGAAGACCGAGAAGGCCAUGAGGCACAGGCGGUCCACCACACAGGCGGCGAACUUCCACUCGCUGCAGACCGCCUCGCUUUCGUCCUGGCAGCGGAAGCGGUUGGCAAUGUAGCGGACCUCCUCCAGGAUCUUGGCCAAGUCCGGGUCCCCCUCGGGGGGUUGCCCGCCGUGCAGGAGGUGCUCAUCGUGCGUGGGGGAGCAGGCCAUGCGGCCACACACUACCCCAGAGUCGGGGGUCGGGACACAGUGCACGCCGUCCAGGCCGCGGAAGCCGAUGUACAGCAGGUUCCCGUUGCUGGCGGGCGGCGGCGCCACGGCACUCAUCUCCACACUGGCCAGGCUGCAGCGCCGCUGCUUGUGCUGGCAGGCCGGGCGCACCUUGUCCUCCCCGGGCCUCUUCAUUCGCAGGAACCACGCGCACCAGUUCAGAAGGAUGACUCUGGUCUGGGGAGACAACAGAACGUUAAGAGCAGCCCUGAGGCGGACACGGGCUGAUCCCAACAGCAGUAAGAUCCUACAAUACAAGCCCUGCUUCAUUGGUCCUGGGGGUAGCAGCCUCCACUGCCUCCCGGAUGAUUUUAGCAGGCAAGCAGUGCUUGCGUAUGACAAGCAGUCGAGUUCAACGUGAGGCAAGACUAAAACUGAUGCACCCUGGGAACAAGCUAAAUUGUUCUCCGGGGCAGGCACACUGCAAUCUCAGGGAAGACAGCUUCGUGGAAGGGGAAGGCUAUCUGAGCUGUGUAAAGAGGGAAAGUCAAUUUCCCUCUCUGAUCCUUCCUCAUCUGUAACCCGGGGACCUUCAGAUCUAACUCUGGCUCCCACACUACCUGUUAGGUGCCCUGGAAGGCCACUGCAAAUUCGCAAAGAGUGUCUGGGGGAGGUUGUACAUUUUCAAAUGCAAUCCCAGGAUAUCCAUGAGACACCAGGUAAACUUGAAGCUUGAAGCAGUUCAGGCUUCCAACAUCAGAUUACCACAUCUCUUGUGAUGACGUGACCACUUUGCAAAGCUGUUUUUCAAAGUACCCUGAUAAAAAGCAAACACCAAGGAACUUCAUGUGAAACAGAAACUAGGUUAGUGGUCUCCAAUCUGAUCCCAAGAUUUGAGAGGCGGUGCCGUGCCCCAUAGGUGCUACAUUGUUAAGGCACAAAUACUUAUUAAAGUGUUUUGAUCUAUUUAAAAAGAGAGCCUUGGGUAUUAUUUCUUUUGGCCAGGGGCUCUGUGAAAAAUUUCCUGAGAUACUAACGUGCUGUGAACCAAGGCAGUUUCGGAACCUCUAACCUAACUCAGUAGGCUUCAAUGAAGACCGAAUAAGAUGAUGUCUGGGAGAGUACUUUGAAAAGUUGAAGGCAGAAGUUGGCAAACUUUCUGUAAAGGGCCAGGCAACUACUCACUUCUGCUGAUGUAGCACACAUUGAAGGCGUCAAAUGGAUGGGCAUGUUUUCUAAAAUAACUUAUUUACAAAAACACUUGGUGGACUGGAUUUGGCCACCUAGGCCAUAAUUUGCUAACUUCUGGUCUAAAGUGUGUCCUAGAGUGCAUGAAAGAAGCUGGAGAAAAAUCACCAUGGAGUUUAUCCUGGUUUUGCCUCUCAUGGAAAGAAGAGAGACAACUGAAGCCUCAAUCCAGAAACAGGUAAAUGUAUUACCUGCUUCAAACUGAUGGAUGGACAGACAGAAAGAGCAGCAAACCAACAAGCCUCCAGCUCUCAGGCCUCUCACCUCUGGCCUUGCAUUUUCUUAAGUGUGGGUCAGCGUUAUAAGGAAAUCAGACAAAAAUACAGGAGAUGGAGUUUUGCUCUGUCACCCAGGCUGGAGGGCAAUGACACCACCAUAGCUCACUGGAGCCUGGAGCUCCUGGGCUCACAUGAUCCUCCCACCUCAGCCUCCCAGGUAGCUGGGACUACAGCCACACACCACUGUGGUGGGCUCACAGGUAAGUCUUUACUAAAUAGUGUAUAAGGGGAAUGGGCCAUGUGGGUGAAACUCUGAGAAGAAACAGUAAUUUUGUAAAGCAUUUCUUAAGAAGCAGUCUUUGCUAAGUGAGCAUUCAGGUAACAACUCCACAAUGACUGUUUCAGGAGGCCCAGCAAUCCCCUAUUCCUGGAGGGUGCCUGACAGCAUCUCACCCCCUACAGCUGCAUUUAGCUUGUUGGUGAUUCCUAGAUUCCCUUCUGAACUGGGACACAAGUGCUCUCCAAAGACAGACAACUUUUGGAAUGUGAGGGCCUUUUUAGCUCCCCAAAUCCUUAGGCCAGGCUCUCUAGACAGGAGGACGGGGAAGCUUUACAAAGCUCACAUGAAGAGGGGAAGAAGCUCAGGCCCUCCCUAGGCCCUCAUCAAGGUUUCCUGACUGCCAGGCAAGGGUGGAUGCAGAGCUCUGGACACCGUGCAGGAGAGGAUCCCUGGGUGGGUGAGCAUCCGCAGAUGUGGCCGGGCACGGUGCCAGCAGCUGGGGCAGGAGUGGUAUGGCCCAGGCUAAGCUGACAGGCUGUGGGAUGCCAUCCUUUCUGUUUUCAUCCGUUUCCUUUUAUCCCUUCCCCCUUCUGCACUGGUGACAAUUAGUCUUUGUUUCAUAGACUUCUGGUUGGAUGAUAUCCCUAGAUGUACUGAACGUACAUAUUUGUACACAGCUCAUUCUGUUUCUUACUCUUUGCUCCUCAUUCUGUUGUGAAGCCUCAACCAUGUUGCUACGCAUCUGUCUCAUCUGUUGCUUCCAACUGCAGCACAG